RNAcentral lists this ribosomal RNA (468 nucleotides) under uncultured bacterium. RNAcentral's name for it is "partial 16S ribosomal RNA". It matches the Rfam family "Bacterial small subunit ribosomal RNA", at positions 28 to 507 of the family's 1533-position model. The record is from RNAcentral.
GACGAACGCUGGCGGCGUGCUUAACACAUGCAAGUCGAACGGAAAGGCCCUGCUUUUGUGGGGUGCUCGAGUGGCGAACGGGUGAGUAACACGUGAGUAACCUGCCCUUGACUUUGGGAUUACUUCAGGAAACUGGGGUUACUACCGGAUAGGCGCUCCUGCUGCAUGGUGGGGGUUGGAAAGUUUCGGCGGUUGGGGAUGGACUCGCGGUUUAUCAGCUUGUUGGUGGGGUAGUGGCUUACCAAGGCUUUGACGGGUAGCCGGCCUGAGGGGGUGACCGGCCACAUUGGGACUGGGAUACGGCCCAGACUCCUACGGGAGGCAGCAGUGGGGAAUAUUGCACAAUGGGCGGAAGCCUGAUGCAGCAACGCGGCUGGCGGGAUGACGGCCUUCGGGUGGUAAACCGCUUUCGCCUGUGACGAAGCGUGAGUGACGGUAAUGGGUAAAGAAGCACCGGCUAACUACGUG